UAGUCGGGACCUAAGCUGAGGCCGAAAGGCGUAGGUGAUGGACAACAGGUUGAUAUUCCUGUACUACCGAUAACCGUUUGAGAGAAGGGAUGACACAGUAGGAUAAGCUAAGCACACUGUUGGUUAUGUGUGCCCAAGCAUUGAGGCAGUCAAAGUAGGUAAAUCCGCUUUGAUAAUGCUGGGAUGGGAUGGGGAGCGAAAUUUAGUAGCGAAGUAGCUGAUUUCACACUGUCAAGAAAAGUCUCUAUCGAGGUUAAAGGUACCCGUACCGCAAACCGACACAGGUGGGUGAGGAGAGUAUCCUAAGGCCAGCGAGAGAACUGUUGUUAAGGAACUCGGCAAAAUGACCCCGUAACUUAGGGAUAAGGGGUGCCACCAUCAGGUGGCCGCAGAGAAUAGGCCCAAGCGACUGUUUACCAAAAACAUAGGUUUCUGCUAAGUCGCAAGACGAUGUAUAGGAGCUGACGCCUGCCCGGUGCUGGAAGGUUAAGGGGA
RNAcentral lists this ribosomal RNA (495 nucleotides) under Clostridioides difficile. RNAcentral describes it as "partial 23S ribosomal RNA". It matches the Rfam family "Bacterial large subunit ribosomal RNA", at positions 1381 to 1885 of the family's 2925-position model. The record is from RNAcentral. Lineage: Bacteria; Bacillati; Bacillota; Clostridia; Peptostreptococcales; Peptostreptococcaceae.